RNAcentral lists this transfer RNA (70 nucleotides) under Trichonephila inaurata madagascariensis. It matches the Rfam family "tRNA". From Rfam's summary of the family: Transfer RNA (tRNA) molecules are approximately 80 nucleotides in length. Their secondary structure includes four short double-helical elements and three loops (D, anti-codon, and T loops). Further hydrogen bonds mediate the characteristic L-shaped molecular structure. tRNAs have two regions of fundamental functional importance: the anti-codon, which is responsible for specific mRNA codon recognition, and the 3' end, to which the tRNAs corresponding amino acid is attached (by aminoacyl-tRNA synthetases). tRNAs cope with the degeneracy of the genetic code in two manners: having more than one tRNA (with a specific anti-codon) for a particular amino acid; and 'wobble' base-pairing, i.e. permitting non-standard base-pairing at the 3rd anti-codon position. The record is from Rfam by way of RNAcentral. Lineage: Eukaryota; Metazoa; Arthropoda; Arachnida; Araneae; Nephilidae.
GGUUCCAUGGUGUAAUGGUUAGCACUCUGGACUCUGAAUCCGCACCCGAGUUCAAAUCUCGGUGGAACCU